Molecule: long non-coding RNA, 393 nt
Organism: Aedes albopictus (Asian tiger mosquito)
Lineage: Eukaryota; Metazoa; Arthropoda; Insecta; Diptera; Culicidae
Exons: 2
Source: RefSeq, a predicted model, not a curated record
UUAAAAGUUACACAAUUAUAUUUCAUUCAUCCUGUAAUAUAUGUGAAGUGUAGCAACAUAAAAAGCAACCGUUUCAACAUAAAAACCAAGCACAAGAAUAACAAACAUGAAACGAACAUGGCGCGUGCAGAAGGCAUACAUUUUGUCGUAGAAAAUUUAUUUUUCCGGUGCUCCGUGGAUCGAUUCGCUGCUGCUUUCGAAGAAUCGCAUUUUAUCGACCACUUCUCCACCGUCACCAAGGACGAGCUCGUGAAUGUUUUGGGAGCUGCCGGAUGCAGCUGCGACGGGAAGUUUUCAGAGCCCAGUGACGACGUGCUAUAUGGACAGCUAAAGUUAUCUAAAGUCAAGUGUUAAAAUCGAUAUUAAGAUCAAUAAAAUCUGCUUGAUCGCGUA